RNAcentral lists this ribosomal RNA (482 nucleotides) under uncultured bacterium. RNAcentral's name for it is "bacterial SSU rRNA". It matches the Rfam family "Bacterial small subunit ribosomal RNA", at positions 29 to 506 of the family's 1533-position model. The record is from RNAcentral.
UUGAACGCUGGCGGCAUGCUUUACACAUGCAAGUCGAACGGCAGCGGGGGCUUCGGCCCGCCGGCGAGUGGCGAACGGGUGAGUAAUGCAUCGGAACGUGCCCAGUCGUGGGGGAUAACGCAGCGAAAGCUGUGCUAAUACCGCAUACGAUCUAAGGAUGAAAGCGGGGGACCGAAAGGCCUCGCGCGAUUGGAGCGGCCGAUGUCAGAUUAGCUAGUUGGUGGGGUAAAGGCCCACCAAGGCAACGAUCUGUAGCUGGUCUGAGAGGACGACCAGCCACACUGGGACUGAGACACGGCCCAGACUCCUACGGGAGGCAGCAGUGGGGAAUUUUGGACAAUGGGCGCAAGCCUGAUCCAGCAAUGCCGCGUGCAGGAAGAAGGCCUUCGGGUUGUAAACUGCUUUUGUACGGAACGAAAAGGUCUGGGUUAAUACCCUGGGCCCAUGACGGUACCGUAAGAAUAAGCACCGGCUAACUACGU